CAGCCGCCGCGUUAAUACCGGCGGCCCGAGUGGCGGUCACUAUUAUUGGGCUUAAAGCGUCCGUAGCCGGGUUGGGAAGUCCUCCGGGGAAUCUGGCCGCUUAACGGUCAGAAUGCCGGAGGAUACUCCCAGCCUAGGGAGCGGGAGAGGCCGAGGGUAUUCCCGGAGUAGGGGUGAAAUCCUAUAAUCCCGGGAGGACCACCUGUGGCGAAGGCGCUCGGCUGGAACGCGUCCGACGGUGAGGGACGAAGGCCAGGGGAGCAAACCGGAUUAGAUACCCGGGUAGUCCUGGCUGUAAACGAUGCGGACUUUGUGUCGGACAAGCUAUGAGCUUGUCCGGUGCCGGAGGGAAACCGUUAAGUCCGCCGCCUGGGGAGUACGGCCGCAAGGCUGAAACUUAAAGGAAUUGGCGGG
RNAcentral lists this ribosomal RNA (414 nucleotides) under uncultured microorganism. Its description in RNAcentral is "bacterial SSU rRNA". It matches the Rfam family "Archaeal small subunit ribosomal RNA", at positions 459 to 872 of the family's 1478-position model. The record is from RNAcentral.